Long non-coding RNA from Megalopta genalis, 577 nucleotides. RefSeq lists it as uncharacterized. The record is from RefSeq and is a predicted model, not a curated record. NCBI's taxonomy places the organism in Eukaryota, Metazoa, Arthropoda, Insecta, Hymenoptera, Halictidae.
UCGAAACGAUCCACGUCCAGCCGAUCAAUCAGUUGACCCCUUUCGAAUUCCGGACGCAAGGAUCUACAGCAGCAAUCACAAAUCACCUGUCGAUGUCGCCCGGAUGUCAGUGUAGAGCUGAGCGUGUAUUAACAGGUGCUUUUAAUUCGACCGAGCCAGAGACUUCCAGCUGCUGGAGUUCGAUAUUGGAUAACAAUGUAAAUUUGAGGGAUUAUCGAUAGAUACUGGUUGACAGUUUCAGUUGGUUAAACAGGGAAGAAUGACGUUCGUUAAAGCUCGGUGAUAGGAGGUAGAGAAGAGAAAAAGAAAUUUAGGGAUGGGAGGAAUGCGGCUGAGAGACGACUUCCGGUUGCGAGGUCAGCAGAGGAAUGGCGGGAAAACUGACUCGAGGAUCCCCGUCGAUGCACCGUCAACGUAACACCAUUUUGUUCGAUACUUUCUCGAGUCUACAUAUAUUCCCGAACAGUUCUUAUGUAAACACUUUUAAACUUUUAUAUUUUUGUGCCAAAAUAUUUCUUUUCUGUAAAACAUUUAAUAUCUGUAAUAAAUCCAGAACUUUGUUAUAUUCCGUGAAAAA